Molecule: long non-coding RNA, 353 nt
Organism: Quercus robur (English oak)
Lineage: Eukaryota; Viridiplantae; Streptophyta; Magnoliopsida; Fagales; Fagaceae
Exons: 2
Source: RefSeq, a predicted model, not a curated record
GAAAAUUGUGAUUGAUUUUUUUUUUUCCAAUUCUGAAUGUUCAUCUAUAACAAAAGCUUUUCUUUUCAGUUCUAAAAGAUUAAUUGGAUCUAUACUUUCAUUGUUCCCUCUUUGCUGUUCUCUCUCAAAGGUUAAAAUGUCUCGUGCCUUGGGUUACAAUCUUACAUAUGAUGUCGAGGGGAGAUACAUUUCAUUGCAACAAGUUUUAGCUUGGCAGCAUAUCUUCAUGAGCAAUAUGUUAUUAUUUGAUUAGUAUUUGAGAGAAUAAAUUGGAACUUAAAUUAUGUAAUGAUAUUGAACUUGGGUAUGUUUUCCCUUAUUAGUAGUUAUUGAUUGAGCAAUUAUUAUGCUUA